AUUGAACGCUGGCGGCAGGCUUAACACAUGCAAGUCGAGCGGGGGAAGGUAGCUUGCUACCGGACCUAGCGGCGGACGGGUGAGUAAUGCUUAGGAAUCUGCCUAUUAGUGGGGGACAACAUCUCGAAAGGGAUGCUAGUGCCGCAUACGUACUACGGGAUAAAGCAGGGGAUCUUCGGACCUUGCGCUAAUAGAUGAGCGUAAGUCGGAUUAGCUAGUUGGUGGGGUAAAGGCCUACCAAGGCGACGAUCUGUAGCGGGUCUGAGAGGAUGAUCCGCCACACUGGGACUGAGACACGGCCCAGACUCCUACGGGAGGCAGCAGUGGGGAAUAUUGGACAAUGGGGGGAACCCUGAUCCAGCCAUGCCGCGUGUGCGAAGAAGGCCUUAUGGUUGUAAAGCACUUUAAGCGAGGAGGAGGCUACUUUAGUUAACACCUGGAGAUAGUGGACGUUACUCGCAGAAUAAGCACCGGCUAACUCUGUGCCAGCCGCCGCGGUAA
Molecule: ribosomal RNA, 501 nt
Filed under: uncultured bacterium
Lineage: Bacteria
Description: partial 16S ribosomal RNA
Rfam family: Bacterial small subunit ribosomal RNA
Source: RNAcentral